AUUGAACGCUGGCGGAAUGCUUUACACAUGCAAGUCGAACGGUAGAGGGGGCAACCCCUUGAGAGUGGCGAACGGGUGAGUAAUAUAUCGGAACGUGCCCAGUCGUGGGGAUAACGUAGCGAAAGUUACACUAAUACCGCAUACGAUCUAAGGAUGAAAGCGGGGGAUCGCAAGACCUCGCGCGAUUGGAGCGGCCGAUAUCAGAUUAGGUAGUUGGUGAGGUAAAGGCUCACCUUAAGCCAACGAUCUGUAGCUGGUCUGAGAGGACGACCAGCCACACUGGAACUGAGACACGGUCCAGACUCCUACGGGAGGCAGCAGUGGGGAAUUUUGGACAAUGGACGCAAGUCUGAUCCAGCCAUUCCGCGUGCAGGAUGAAGGCCCUCGGGUUGUAAACUGCUUUUGUACGGAACGAAAGGUUUCUAUUAAUACUAGGAGCUCAUGACGGUACCGUAAGAAUAAGCACCGGCUAACUACGUGCCAGCAGCCGCGGUAAAGUG
This 500-nucleotide ribosomal RNA is filed under the name uncultured bacterium. RNAcentral describes it as "bacterial SSU rRNA". It matches the Rfam family "Bacterial small subunit ribosomal RNA", at positions 30 to 527 of the family's 1533-position model. The record is from RNAcentral.